Molecule: ribosomal RNA, 776 nt
Filed under: uncultured Neocallimastigales
Lineage: Eukaryota; Fungi; Neocallimastigomycota; Neocallimastigomycetes; Neocallimastigales
Description: partial large subunit ribosomal RNA
Rfam family: Eukaryotic large subunit ribosomal RNA
Source: RNAcentral
GUACACGCUGUGACUAGCAUAUCAAUAAGCGGAGGAAAAGAAACUAACAAGGAUUCCCCUAGUAACGGCGAGUGAAGCGGGAAGAGCUCAAAUUUGAAAUCUUAAAGGGUUUCCCUUUACGAAUUGUAGUUUAAAGAAGUGUUUUCUGUUGAGGUUUUGGUAAAAGUUCUUUGGAAUAGGACAUCAUAGAGGGUGAGAAUCCCGUAUUUGACCUUUACUUUCAACUUUGUGAUACACUUUCAAAGAGUCGGAUUGUUUGGGAAUGCAGUCCAAAAUGGGUGGUAAAUUUCAUCUAAAGCUAAAUAUUGGCGAGAGACCGAUAGCGAACAAGUACCGUGAGGGAAAGAUGAAAAGAACUUUGAAAAGAGAGUUAAACAGUACGUGAAAUUGUCAAAAGGGAAGCGUUUGACACCAGUGUUGUUUUUCUGAAAAUCAAUUAAAGAACUGUUUAUGCUAAGCUGUUUAGACUUUAUCAGCUAACUGUUUAGUUUUGAGCUUUUCUUUAAUGCACUUUUCAGCUAACAAGUCAACAUCAAUUUCUUUUGCUGUAAAAAAGCUUGAGGAAGGUGGCUUGAGAUUCGUCUUAAGUGUUUAUAGCCUCUUGCCUAUGCAGUCGGGAGAGAUUGAGAUCUGCAGCGUAGAUCCUUCGGGGCUAAAUGCAUUUGUGCUAAGUUAUAGCAUUUUCAUAGACAACUUGUUGACUAUGAUUCGUCUUGUAGCUUACUCGCUUAUGUUAUUUUACCUACGCUUAGGAUGUUGACGCGCGUGUGUGCGUG